CCAAUCGAACCCGGAGAUAGCUGGUUCUCCUCGAAAUAGCUUUAGGGCUAGCCUCGUGUUAACCUUGUGGAGGUAGAGCACUGAAUAUCCUAGGGGGCGUCAAAGUCUACCGAAGAUUAUCAAACUCCGAAUGCCAUAGAGGUGAUGCACGGGAGUCAGACUGCACGAGAUAAGUUGGGUGGUCAAAAGGGAAAGAGCCCAGACCUACAGCUAAGGUCCCAAAGUGCGUGUUAAGUGGAAAAGGAUGUGGGAUUUCGAAGACAACUAGGAUGUUGGCUCAGAAGCAGCCAUACAUUCAAAGAGUGCGUAAUAGCUCACUAGUCGAGAGGUCCUGCGCCGAAAAUGUCCGGGGCUGAAACACACUACCGAAGCUUAGGAAUUGAUGAAUGUCAAUUGGUAGAGGAGCAUUCUUACCGAGACGAAGCUGUACCGGAAGGAGCAGUGGAUUGGUAAGAAGAGAGAAUGCCGGAAUGAGUAGCGAGAGGAAGGUGAGAAUCCUUCCGGCCGAAUAUCCAAGGUUUCCAGAGUAAAGCUGAUCUGCUCUGGGUAAGUCGGGGCCUAAGGCGAGGUCGAAAGACGUAGUCGAUGGAUAACAGGUGGAGAUUCCUGUACUAUGUGUACCCAGAACUGUGGGGACGCAUGUGGAGAGCAUGAGCCGGGAAAGAGAAAACCGGUACAAGCGGGGUAGGAGUAAGGACAGCAAAUCUUCCUUACAAUCCGAAGACGUGAUGUGGACCGAACCAAAGUAGGGAAGCAUGUGAGCCAUGUGCCAAGAAAAGCCGCUAUUGUGAUACACAUACCCGUACCGUAAACCGACACAGGUGGAUGAGGAGAGAAUCCUAAGGCCGACGGGAGAAGCAUUGUUAAGGAACUCGGCAAAAUGACCCCGUAACUUCGGGAGAAGGGGUGCCAGGGAGACCUGGCCGCAGAGAAUAGGCUCAAGCAACUGUUUAGCAAAAACACAGGUCUAUGCGAAACCGAAAGGUGAGGUAUAUGGGCUGACGCCUGCCCGGUGCUGGAAGGUUAAGAGGAGAGGUUAGCGGUAACGCGAAGCUUUGAAUUUAAGCCCCAGUAAACGGCGGCCGUAACUAUAACGGUCCUAAGGUAGCGAAAUUCCUUGUCGGGUAAGUUCCGACCCGCACGAAAGGCGUAAUGAUUUGAGCGCUGUCUCGACAAUGCAUCCGGUGAAAUUGAAGUACCAGUGAAGAUGCUGGUUACCUGCGCCAGGACGGAAAGACCCCAUGGAGCUUUACUCCAGUUUGGUACUGGGAUCCGGUGCUGCAUGUACAGGAUAGGUGGGAGACUGAGAACACAGAACGCCAGUUGUGUGGGAGUCGCUGUUGGGAUACCACCCUUGCAGUAUUGGGUUUCUAACCAUCCGCCGUGACCCGGCGGUGGGACAAUGCCAGGCGGGGAGUUUGACUGGGGCGGUCGCCUCCGAAAGGGUAUCGGAGGCGCCCAAAGGUUCCCUCAGAAUGGACGGAAACCAUUCGCAGAGUGCAAAGGCAGAAGGGAGCUUGACUGCGACACCGACGGGUGGAGCAGGUACGAAAGUAGGACUUAGUGAUCCGGUGGUAUAAAGUGGGAUUGCCAUCGCUCAACGGAUAAAAGCUACCCUGGGGAUAACAGGCUUAUCACUCCCAAGAGUUCACAUCGACGGAGUGGUUUGGCACCUCGAUGUCGGCUCAUCGCAUCCUGGGGCUGUAGUAGGUCCCAAGGGUUGGGCUGUUCGCCCAUUAAAGCGGUACGCGAGCUGGGUUCAGAACGUCGUGAGACAGUUCGGUCCCUAUCCGGCGUGGGCGUAGGAUAUCUGAGAGGAGCUGUCCUUAGUACGAGAGGACCGGGAUGGACGGGCCGCUGGUGUACCGGUUAGACUGCCAAGUCUACGGCCGGGUAGCCAAGCCUGGAAGGGAUAAACGCUGAAGGCAUCUAAGCGUGAAGCCCCCCUCAAGAUGAGAUAUCCCAUUCGAAAGAAGUAAGACCCCUUGAAGACGACGAGGUAGAUAGGGCAGAGGUGGAAGUGCGGUAACGUAUGGAGCUGACUGCUACUAAUCGGUCGAGGGCUUGACCAA
RNAcentral lists this ribosomal RNA (2072 nucleotides) under human gut metagenome. RNAcentral's name for it is "bacterial LSU rRNA". It matches the Rfam family "Bacterial large subunit ribosomal RNA", at positions 829 to 2925 of the family's 2925-position model. The record is from RNAcentral.